Molecule: non-coding RNA, 205 nt
Filed under: Lactobacillus sp.
Lineage: Bacteria; Bacillati; Bacillota; Bacilli; Lactobacillales; Lactobacillaceae
Description: T-box sequence
Rfam family: T-box leader
About the family: Uncharged tRNA acts as the effector for transcription antitermination of genes in the T-box leader family. T-boxes are found upstream of many aminoacyl-tRNA synthetase genes and some amino acid biosynthetic genes usually in Gram-positive bacteria. The anticodon of a specific tRNA base pairs to a specifier sequence within the T-box motif, and the NCCA acceptor tail of the tRNA base pairs to a conserved bulge in the T-box antiterminator hairpin.
Source: RNAcentral
UUAAUUACGAAGAACAAGACUAGUAACAAAUGGAAUUUAAAAGAGAGGCCUUUUUAUUGAGCUGAGAGAAAGGCUUAAGUGAAAUUUGUGAAUUUCAUCUUGGGAGUAGAAUCUAAUCAAUUCCGGUAUUUCACCGUUAUCGAAAACUUGAGUGUAGGCAGAUUCUGUCUAAAUAAGGGUGGUACCGCGAAGCUUCGUCCCUAGA